UUUGUAAUAAAACACACCUACUUAAAUGCAAUAUAAAAUAUAACAAAAAUUCUGACGUAUGUGGCAAGUGUAUAGCAGGUUCCUAAUUGUGAAUGGCAUUGUGUAUUAAUGAGACACACGCGUGUGCAGUUCUAUAAGGAACUGGCGACACGAUAUGUUGUUCGCCUACGCUUUGUCUAAUGACUCCUUUAGAAAAAUGCAGAAGUUCUCAAACUGUACCAAUUUGCAAAAAUUAAAGGUCUCGGCGUGGGGCCACUUUAAAUAUACUUCGGGUUGCGUUGAUUUAAGAUAAUAGGGUGAAAACGCUCUGUAGAUCACAUAGCUCACUCGAAAAUGAGAGCGUUCGUAAUAGUAAUCUUAAUUUCAGGGUGUUGUUUAUAUGAUAUGUCCGCAACAGGAUACGGUGAGGAAUGUGAAAUUUCAAAUCAACGCAUACCCAACACGCAGUGCUUAAACAGUGACAGUAAAUGUCCACUUAUGAGAGCAGUAUCAAAAAUAUGUCCGGAAGGCUUGGUAUGUUGCGUGAAGAUACCUCCAAUACUCGGGGAACAAACCGAUACGGCACAUCCCAAAUUAGUCUAUAAGUUCGGUUAAGUAUAUGUGAAAAGUGCAUAUUUUUCUAGUAAAGUGAUAAA
Long non-coding RNA from Photinus pyralis (common eastern firefly), 635 nucleotides. RefSeq lists it as uncharacterized. The record is from RefSeq and is a predicted model, not a curated record. The transcript is spliced from 3 exons. Lineage: Eukaryota; Metazoa; Arthropoda; Insecta; Coleoptera; Lampyridae.